Molecule: unclassified non-coding RNA, 491 nt
Filed under: Hevea brasiliensis (rubber tree)
Lineage: Eukaryota; Viridiplantae; Streptophyta; Magnoliopsida; Malpighiales; Euphorbiaceae
Source: RNAcentral
AUUUUUUACUGUCAGUUCAUAAUACUGCUCAAAUGGCAAAUAUAGUAUAUAGAACAAGUGCAUGAUAAAAUCAAAAUCACUAACCUAUUGUGUUUUUUUGUCAUAGCUCAUAGGUAUGGUUAGCGUCCAUAGAAAUGAAAAAUAGUGACACAAAAUCAAUGCACUCAUAACCACGAUGCCAAGACCCAAAUAAUUACCCACUGUGACAAAUAAUUACGUGAGGCUGACAGAGAAGCAAGAAUAGAGAAAUGAGACCAUGAGAGUUGAAACUGAAGGUGAGCUGCUGUGUCUGUGAUGAUUACUUGGCAAGGCCAGCAGCUCCUUGCGGUGGAGUCAUGACAGUGAGGAGUUGACAAUGGCACCGAGAGGAGACGAGAGGAUACGAGAGAGGUGAACUUGAGAGCUGUGCCACCGAGUGAAGUGAGUGCAAUGUGAGAUUGAGAGAAACUAAGAAAGGGAGAGUUGUGGUAAUUGGUAGGUGGCGGAUGGAU